AAGAACAGAGGACAGGUACAUUACAGUGGCAUAAUAAUGGAAUGGAAGGUGAAAAGCAUCUUCUUGGAUUGGAGCAUUGCGGUGGUUGGUCGCUGGAAGUGAAGGCCGUGUGAGGAAGAGCUCUGGCGCAGUGGUUUAGUUAGUGGAGAAAUCUUCUUCUCUCUAAUUAUACCAUUGUCUUCUUUUAAUUUUUUUGAUUUUUUUUUUGUUAUGAUUGGAUGGUUUUAUGGUUUUUGUUUGAUAAAUUAAGAUAGUCUUGUUAUGGAAAUUAAUUUGAAAAGGAAAAAAGAGGUAGGUAAUGAGGAAGAUGAAUGUAUUGUGGGAAGGGUUGUGAAGAUUUGGGACUGUUGUUGGUUGCUGACUCUCUGCAUUUUCUCUUCUUUUUGUAUCCUCUCUGUUUUACGGUUCUCCCUUUUAAG
Molecule: long non-coding RNA, 419 nt
Filed under: Trifolium pratense (red clover)
Lineage: Eukaryota; Viridiplantae; Streptophyta; Magnoliopsida; Fabales; Fabaceae
Description: long non-coding RNA (TPRA_LNC003075)
Source: RNAcentral